Molecule: ribosomal RNA, 468 nt
Filed under: uncultured bacterium
Lineage: Bacteria
Description: partial 16S ribosomal RNA
Rfam family: Bacterial small subunit ribosomal RNA
Source: RNAcentral
GACGAACGCUGGCGGCGUGCUUAACACAUGCAAGUCGAACGGAAAGGCCCUGCUUUUGUGGGGUGCUCGAGUGGCGAACGGGUGAGUAACACGUGAGUAACCUGCCCUUGACUUUGGGAUAACUUCAGGAAACUGGGGCUAAUACCGGAUAGGAGCUCCUGCUGCAUGGUGGGGGUUGGAAAGUUUCGGCGGUUGGGGAUGGACUCGCGGCUUAUCAGCUUGUUGGUGGGGUAGUGGCUUACCAAGGCUUUGACGGGUAGCCGGCCUGAGAGGGUGACCGGCCACAUUAGGACUGAGAUACGGCCCAGACUCCUACGGGAGGCAGCAGUCGGGAAUAUUGCACAAUGGGCGGAAGCCUGAUGCAGCAACGCCGCGUGCGGGAUGACGGCCUUCGGGUUAUAAACCGCUUUCGCAUGUGACGAAGCGUGAGUGACGGUAAUGGGUAAAGAAGCACCGGCUAACUACGUG